GCAGCUGCCGUCGAGGUCGCCAGCCCCUCCCCCAGCAUGUUUGGGCUAAGCCGCCUCCUUUCCGCCAGCGUUGGAGAGAGAGGUACCAGAAGGAGUGAAAGGACUGGGGCUUGUCUCCAUGGCAACUGAAAGAAAGAGUUCUAGAGUCUGGGAAGUCCAAGAUCAAGGUGCCAGCAGAUCCAGUGUCCAGGGCGGGCUCCCUGCUUCAGAGAUACAGUGCCUUCUGACUACAUCCUCACAUGGUAGAAGUGACAGAGGACUCCCUCACGCCUGUUUUAUAAGGUGCUAACCCCAUUCAUGAUCUCCACCCUCAUGACCUAACCACCUCCCAAAGUCCCCACAUCUUUAUUUUAUUUUAUUAUUGUUUUGAGAUGGAGUCUUGCUAUGUCACCCACGCUGGAGUGCAGUGGUGCGAUCUCGGCUCACUGCAAUCUCCACCUCCUGGGUUCAAGCGAUUCUCCUGCCUCAGCCUCCGAGUGGCUGGGAUUACAGAUGUACGCCGCCACACCUGGCUAAUUUUUGUAUUUUUAGUAGAGACGGGGUUUUACCAUGUUGGCCAGGCUGAUCUCAGACUCCUGGCUUCAAGUGAUCUGCCCCCCGCCAGCUUCCCAAAGUGCUAGGAUUAUAGUCACAAGCCACCAUGCCCAGCCCACCUCUUAAUGCCAUCACUUUGGGGGUUAGGUUUCGACAUAUGAAUUCAAAGGGGACACAUACAUUCAGACCACAGCACUGACUCAGAUUCCCUGCAAAACCCUUGAGAGUUUCAUUUUUGUCAGAUUUAUUCUCUAUAGGCUCUAAGUAUUAUUCCUCCUCCCCGAUUUAGUUAUUAUAAACAGUACAUAACUGAUCAGAUUAACACCUGUCCCCUUGCCACCCCUAAUGCCUGCCCCCGUUCAUGUUCCAGGAACACUCCAUUAGACCACCCCCUACUGUAUUGGUGGGUGGUGGGAGGGGGCCCAUCGGGUGGGGUCUUUGCUGUAUUAUUCUGUGUCACUGAGGCCUAUCCCAAUGCUCUGCACACGCAGAUGCAAAUAUCUGUUGUAUGAUUAUAUAAAACAAUGAUGUGAAAGCCUAUUUGUCUGCACCACACCUCAUGAACGUCCCCAACCACUUGAAGGCACUCAUAGUGUCUUAAUCAUCUCAGGCCUUCAAUCUGGCAUAGGGAACUCCUUUAAUAAACAAUGUCUGCUAAGCCAAAUGGCUUCCUGAGGCCUGGCAUUUUAGGCUGUGUCCCCUGCCCCACCUCACCCAGCCUUGGGGCAUUGAGCCUGGCUGGGCACACACGUGAUAGUUGUAAUCAUAUUGUCACAACAUCCCUGAGACUAUAUUAAUUACAUAUUGAGUGUUAUAGUACUAUUAUAGCAGGUGGCAGAUCUUGGCAUACUGGGCAGGGAUGUGUUGGUGUGAAAAUCUCUCUGUAUUUUAGAGACAGGGUCUCCCUCUGUUGCCCAGGCUGAAGUGCAGUGGUGCCAUCAUAGCUCACUGUAACUUCAAACUCUUGUGCUCAAGUGAUCCUCCCGCCUCAGCCUCCUGAGUAGCUGCAACUAUAGGCACGUACCACCACACCCAGCUAAUUUUUAAAUUUUAUGUAGAGAUAGGGUCUAGCUGUUACCGACACUGGUUUUGAACUCCUGAACUCAAGCAGUCCUUCUGCCUUGGUCUCCUAAAGUGCUGGGAUUACAGGUGUGAUCCACCACGUCCAGCCAAAAUCUCACUUUAAGUGGGGUCCCUGACUCCAUACAGGUGAUAGGCUGUGGUUCACAGGCAUAAAGAGCAUCCAGCCUGGGGCCCCGGAGCCAGAGUUUUCCCUCCCAUUGUCCCCCGGGUCCUUCAUCCCUCCUAAUCUUGCAAACCAGCUGUCAAUUGGGUUGAGAUGGUAUAUCUUUCAUAGGGUCAUUGUGGGGAUUAAAUGAGUUAAUAUAUGUAAAGCACUUAGCAUAAUGCCUGGCAGACAGUAAGGUAUGGAGUACCUUGUAACCCUUAUUAUUGCUGUUGCUGUUAGCAACAGAGUGAGGAAUGCUGGGAGUGACCAUGCCCAGCACCAAAUGAGGCCUUCAUAGCCUUGGGCUAAAGGAAAAAGAGUAGAAAGGUGAACACAGGGAGAGGACUCAAUUUCAACACAGAUGCAUUAGACCAAGAACUCUGGAUUCACUUUCCCUGGAGGUGGGGGUGCUAUCUGCUGCUUAAUGGAGCAUCAUGGAAAAUGUGGGUCUCAAGGCCUGAAGGACUCCAUUCCUAAGAGAUGGAAGCAGGAGACAUGCUACAGAGUUUGAAUCUUGCCCAACAGGGGGAUUUCUGCCUGCUGGAAGGGCUCUGUCAGGGCCUAGUGGAAGCCCUUGCCUCAGUGGGGCAGACUGCUGCUGGACACACCUAUCAUUCAUCGUCACCUCUCUGGGACAGUAGUAGCAGCCAGGCACCUCCAAAGAGCUUGACAACAGAGGAACCCACUUCAGCCCCUCCUCCUAAGACAGGAUCCAGCGCUACUCCAGCUCUGAGUUGGUUCAAGGACAGAGACAUCAUCCACAGAGGCCACAAAACCAAGAGGUGGAUGCCUCAUUGUUACUUCAUGCUGCCUGGAAGCAAAGAGAGGGCCUUAGGCACAAAAUCCUCCAGACCGACGCCUGCCCCUUGGCUUUCUCAACCCUUCACUCUCCAACUUCUAUAAAGAACCUGUACAGUGGCGAGGCACCAU
Non-coding RNA from Chlorocebus sabaeus (green monkey), 2692 nucleotides. The record is from RefSeq and is a predicted model, not a curated record. NCBI's taxonomy places the organism in Eukaryota, Metazoa, Chordata, Mammalia, Primates, Cercopithecidae.